RNAcentral lists this ribosomal RNA (253 nucleotides) under uncultured bacterium. RNAcentral describes it as "partial 16S ribosomal RNA". It matches the Rfam family "Bacterial small subunit ribosomal RNA", at positions 524 to 776 of the family's 1533-position model. The record is from RNAcentral.
UACGAAGGGGGCAAGCGUUGCUCGGAAUCACUGGGCGUAAAGCGCACGUAGGCGGGUUGCUAAGUCAGGGGUGAAAUCCUGGAGCUCAACUCCAGAACUGCCCUUGAUACUGAAGAUCUUGAGUUCGGGAGAGGUGAGUGGAACUGCGAGUGUAGAGGUGAAAUUCGUAGAUAUUCGCAAGAACACCAGUGGCGAAGGCGGCUCACUGGCCCGAUACUGACGCUGAGGCACGAAAGCGUGGGGAGCAAACAGG